UUAGGAAUCUUGCGCAAUGGGCGAAAGCCUGACGCAGCGACGUCGCGUGACUGAUGAAGUCUUUCGGGAUGUAAAAGUCUUUUUUGGGGGAAGAAGGAUGUGACGGUACCCCAAGAAUAAGCCCCGGCUAACUACGUGCCAGCAGCCGCGGUAAUACGUAGGGGGCGAGCGUUGUCCGAAUUCACUGGGCGUAAAGCGCGCGUAGGCGGGUUAUUAAGUUAGGGGUGAAAUCCCGAGGCUCAACCUCGGAACUGCCUUUAAAACUGGUAGCCUUGAGGUAUGGAGAGGGAAGUGGAAUUCCUGGUGUAGCGGUGAUAUGCGUAGAUAUCAGGAGGAACACCCGUGGCGAAGGCGGCUUCCUGGCCAUAUCCUGACGCUGAGGUGCGAAAGCUAGGGGAGCGAACG
This 405-nucleotide ribosomal RNA is filed under the name uncultured prokaryote. Its description in RNAcentral is "bacterial SSU rRNA". It matches the Rfam family "Bacterial small subunit ribosomal RNA", at positions 355 to 774 of the family's 1533-position model. The record is from RNAcentral.